This 73-nucleotide transfer RNA is filed under the name Stegodyphus mimosarum. It matches the Rfam family "tRNA". From Rfam's summary of the family: Transfer RNA (tRNA) molecules are approximately 80 nucleotides in length. Their secondary structure includes four short double-helical elements and three loops (D, anti-codon, and T loops). Lineage: Eukaryota; Metazoa; Arthropoda; Arachnida; Araneae; Eresidae. The record is from Rfam by way of RNAcentral.
GCCUUUGUGGUGUAGUGGUGAGCACGCUCGGCGCGUAUUUCAGAGGUCUAAGGUUCCAGUCCUGGCGAGGGCA